UACGUAGGGGGCUAGCGUUGUCCGGAAUCAUUGGGCGUAAAGAGCGCGUAGGCGGCUAGAUAAGUCCGGUGUGAAAGUCACAGGCUCAACCUGUGAAUGCCGCUGGAAACUGUCUGGCUAGAGUCCGGAAGGGGCGAGUGGAAUUCCCGGUGUAGCGGUGAAAUGCGCAGAUAUCGGGAGGAACACCAAUGGCGAAGGCAGCUCGCUGGGACGGUACUGACGCUGAGACGCGAAAGCGUGGGGAGCAAACAGG
Molecule: ribosomal RNA, 253 nt
Filed under: uncultured bacterium
Lineage: Bacteria
Description: partial 16S ribosomal RNA
Rfam family: Bacterial small subunit ribosomal RNA
Source: RNAcentral